UCCAGUCCGGUUUUGCGGACUAAAGACAGUAUCGGCCGAAACGUGGGCGAGACGUUUUGCCACCCCUAAUUUGAACCUUCAUAUUUCUUCCCUACGAGAUAGGUUUUUCAAGUGUUUGUUUUGCAGCCAUGGCAAACAGAGACCACCACCGCUGUGAUAAACUCUUUGUAACCCAAGAGUCCUUCAAUAACUACAAAGACGGAUCACAGGAUUUCUGUAAGGCCUCGAUUAGCGCCCCUAGAGUUGUAAAGUCCUUCAAUAAUAAGGGAUCUGGUUCCCAAAAUUUAAGGGGCUUAAAGAUUCAUUGCCAUGACAAAUCUGUUUUGCUCCAUUUCCGAGCCCGUGUCGGCAGUGGGAUAUCUGCACUUUUCAACUACAACGGGAACGGACUUCAGGAGUUCCCUGGCUUCAGCUUUUUUAGGUAUCUGCGAGACUUAACCCGUCUGGGAUGAGAGCUGAAAUACGGAACUAGGGAAAUGUAGUCAUGGAGGCCUAAUACUACCCUAAGGAUUUUCUCCAUUCACAGUUUGUUUGUUCAAGACUGUCUUUAUUUUAUAUUCUCGUGGGGAUGACUUUGUUUUAUACCCACAUUGAACUUUCACUUUGGAUUGUUACAACAAAUUUUAACUAUACUUUAUUAUGUACAUGCAGACCAUAUAUAUAUAUGUUUAUAUAUUGAUUGCUUUAGCCACAUUAGUUACUCUGAAUAUUAUUUUGUUGGAUUAUUUGAUUUUGUUUUAUUACCA
Vigna angularis (adzuki bean) is the source of this 746-nucleotide long non-coding RNA. RefSeq lists it as uncharacterized. The transcript is spliced from 2 exons. The record is from RefSeq and is a predicted model, not a curated record. NCBI's taxonomy places the organism in Eukaryota, Viridiplantae, Streptophyta, Magnoliopsida, Fabales, Fabaceae.